This 364-nucleotide ribosomal RNA is filed under the name Cryptosporidium hominis. RNAcentral describes it as "SSU rRNA". It matches the Rfam family "Eukaryotic small subunit ribosomal RNA", at positions 414 to 802 of the family's 1831-position model. Lineage: Eukaryota; Apicomplexa; Conoidasida; Eucoccidiorida; Cryptosporidiidae. The record is from RNAcentral.
AUCUAAGGAAGGCAGCAGGCGCGCAAAUUACCCAAUCCUAAUACAGGGAGGUAGUGACAAGAAAUAACAAUACAGGACUUUUUGGUUUUGUAAUUGGAAUGAGUUAAGUAUAAACCCCUUUACAAGUAUCAAUUGGAGGGCAAGUCUGGUGCCAGCAGCCGCGGUAAUUCCAGCUCCAAUAGCGUAUAUUAAAGUUGUUGCAGUUAAAAAGCUCGUAGUUGGAUUUCUGUUAAUAAUUUAUAUAAUAUAUUUUGAUGAAUAUUUAUAUAAUAUUAACAUGAUUCAUAUUACUAUUUUUUUUUAGUAUAUGAAAUUUUACUUUGAGAAAAUUAGAGUGCUUAAAGCAGGCAUAUGCCUUGAAUAC